CCUACGGGUGGCUGCAGUGGGGAAUAUUGCACAAUGGGCGCAAGCCUGAUGCAGCCAUGCCGCGUGUGUGAAGAAGGCCUUCGGGUUGUAAAGCACUUUCAGCGGGGAGGAAGGCGGUGAGGUUAAUAACCUCAUCGAUUGACGUUACCCGCAGAAGAAGCACCGGCUAACUCCGUGCCAGCAGCCGCGGUAAUACGGAGGGUGCAAGCGUUAAUCGGAAUUACUGGGCGUAAAGCGCACGCAGGCGGUCUGUCAAGUCGGAUGUGAAAUCCCCGGGCUCAACCUGGGAACUGCAUUCGAAGCUGGUAGGCUAGAGUCUUGUAGAGGGGGGUAGAGUUCCAGGUGUAGCGGUGAAAUGCGUAGAGAUCUGGAGGAAUACCGGUGGGGAAGGCGGCCCCCUGGACAAAGACUGACGCUCAGGUGCGAAAGCGUGGGGAGCAAACAGGAUUAGAUACCCGGGUAGUC
This 465-nucleotide ribosomal RNA is filed under the name uncultured Klebsiella sp. Its description in RNAcentral is "bacterial SSU rRNA". It matches the Rfam family "Bacterial small subunit ribosomal RNA", at positions 338 to 795 of the family's 1533-position model. Lineage: Bacteria; Pseudomonadati; Pseudomonadota; Gammaproteobacteria; Enterobacterales; Enterobacteriaceae. The record is from RNAcentral.